GUACACGCUGUGACUAGCAUAUCAAUAAGCGGAGGAAAAGAAACUAACAAGGAUUCCCCUAGUAACGGCGAGUGAAGCGGGAAGAGCUCAAAUUUGAAAUCUUAAAGGGUUUCCCUUUACGAAUUGUAGUUUAAAGAAGUGUUUUCUGUUGAGGUUUUGGUAAAAGUUCUUUGGAAUAGGACAUCAUAGAGGGUGAGAAUCCCGUAUUUGACCUUUACUUUCAACUUUGUGAUACACUUUCAAAGAGUCGGAUUGUUUGGGAAUGCAGUCCAAAAUGGGUGGUAAAUUUCAUCUAAAGCUAAAUAUUGGCGAGAGACCGAUAGCGAACAAGUACCGUGAGGGAAAGAUGAAAAGAACUUUGAAAAGAGAGUUAAACAGUACGUGAAAUUGUCAAAAGGGAAGCGUUUGACACCAGUGUUGUUUUUCUAGAAAAUCAAUUAAAGAACUGUUUAUGCUAAGCUGUUUAGGACUUUAUCAGGCUAAUCUGUUUAGUUUUGAGCUUUUCUUUAAUGCACUUUUCAGUUAACAAGUCAACAUCAAUUUCUUUUGCUGUAAAAAAGGCUUGAGGAAGGUGGCUUGAGAUUCGUCUUAAGUGUUUAUAGCCUCUUGCCUAUGCAGUCGGAGAGAUUGAGGUCUGCAGCGUAGAUCCUUCGGGGCUAAAUGCAUUUGUGCUAAGUUAUAGCAUUUUAUAGACAACUUGUUGACUAUGAUUUGUCUUGUAGCUUACUCGCUUAUGUUAUUUUACCUACGCUUAGGAUGUUGACUGAUAUGUAGUCGUA
Molecule: ribosomal RNA, 779 nt
Filed under: uncultured Neocallimastigales
Lineage: Eukaryota; Fungi; Neocallimastigomycota; Neocallimastigomycetes; Neocallimastigales
Description: partial large subunit ribosomal RNA
Rfam family: Eukaryotic large subunit ribosomal RNA
Source: RNAcentral